UGCAAAUCUGAUUUAAGUCAUGAGAUAAAUCUUCUUCCCAUAGAACAAAGUGGUAGGUUCAAGCAGGAAACUCUGCAAGUAACUCAGGCUACCCACUGAUCCUGUAUUUCACACAUUUAGAUGUGGUAUGACACAAUGUUGUCUGUGGAAAGUGGAGAUCCUUCACACCUGUAAAUUCACUGAGGCUGUUGUGUCAAGUAGUAAAUGGCAAAAUUCAGAGUUUGGUUCU
RNAcentral lists this small RNA (229 nucleotides) under Oryza sativa Japonica Group (Japanese rice). RNAcentral's name for it is "sRNA Os04g0397601". Lineage: Eukaryota; Viridiplantae; Streptophyta; Magnoliopsida; Poales; Poaceae. The record is from RNAcentral.